UACGGAGGAUGCAAGCGUUAUCCGGAAUGAUUGGGCGUAGAGCGUCCGCAGGUGGCUGUGUAAGUCUGCUGUCAAAGAGCAAAGCUCAACUUUGUAAAGGCAGUGGAAACUACACGGCUAGAGUGCGUUCGGGGCAGAGGGAAUUCCUGGUGUAGCGGUGAAAUGCGUAGAGAUCAGGAAGAACACCGGUGGCGAAGGCGCUCUGCUAGGCCGCAACUGACACUGAGGGACGAAAGCUAGGGGAGCGAAUGGG
This 253-nucleotide ribosomal RNA is filed under the name uncultured bacterium. Its description in RNAcentral is "partial 16S ribosomal RNA". It matches the Rfam family "Bacterial small subunit ribosomal RNA", at positions 524 to 776 of the family's 1533-position model. The record is from RNAcentral.